CUUAACUGCCCUAAAAGCGUGGUCCUUUUGCGUUACACAUCCCCUUCCUCUAAUGACAGAGACACACAAUGAAUUCCUUCUAAAUACCCGCCAUUUCAACUGAUUCUACCCAAAAUCUCUCUCUCUCUCUCUAAGAUUGUGAUGAGAAGCCGCAGACAACGAUGCCGGAGCUACUAAGGUUUGAUGACCAGAACCAGCAGAGAUCAUCCGCAUUCAGACCUCGAGACUCCAGCCCCGAUUCCGUCAUCUUCACCGUCGAAUCCAACUUCAGCCUCUUCUCUUCCGCUUCCGGAAGCGUCGAUCGUUGCUCCUUCACUUCCGAUGUUCACGAUCACGACUCUCUCGUCUCACAACUCACUCAGCCCUAUAAUUUGAAAUUCGUCGAUUUCGAAGAGUUACAAAUCUUCGAUUUGAACCAGCAUUUGGCAGGACAUGAUCUGCGUGAGACUUCGAGUGGUCUAGAUUCAGAUCCAAACAAGCCCACAGGACACAGGAACAGUCGUCUAAUCAGAAAAGUAGGAAAAGAAAAAGGUAAUAAAGAAGACAAUGAUUCAGAGAUUGGGGACAAAAAUGAAACCCUAAUUUCAGCGAGGAACUCCUUCUCUCUAGCUGUUAAAGAAUGUCAAGAUCGGAGAUCCAGAUCUGAAGCUUUACUAAUAAAGCCAAAUAGACGGAGGCCUGCUUCGUUGGAUCUGAACAGUCAUACAACCAAUGCUACAAACUCUUCGCCCCGGUUCGGUGUCAUGAAGAAGAGCUCUAUUAUGUCUCGUCGAACUGGAACUUUUCCGAGCCCUGUAUCACCUAAUUAUCGACAUGCGAGUGUUGGGAUUCAGAAAGGCUGGAGCUCGGAGCGUGUGCCGUUGCAUAACAAUGCCAAACAGAGGCAUGUGAGUGCUGCUGCACUGUUGCCCUUUAAUAAUGGCAGGACAUUGCCUUCCAAAUGGGAAGAUGCUGAGAGGUGGAUUUGUAGUCCGGUUUCUGGUGACGGUGUUAUGAAGGCUUCGUUUCAGCAGCCCCAAAGGCGGCCAAAGUCGAAGAGUGGGCCUCUUGGGCCUCCCGGAAUUGCAUAUUACUCGUAUUCACCGGCAGUGCCCAUGUUGGAAGGAGGAAAUUUUGGGAAUUUAAUGGCUGGGUCUCCGUUUUCGGCUGGGGUAAUGGGGCCAGAUGGUUUGUCACUUCGUUCUGGUGGAGGCAAUGGUGGAACUGGAAUUUUUCCUACUCGCAUGGAGCCUUGCAUGGCAAGAUCAGUUAGCGUACAUGGGUGCUCUGAACAACUAAGCCAAGCAUCAUUGCCUGCCCCCCAAGAUGAGAAAUUUGAUAGUGAUAAGGAUGCGGCCACCAAUAUUUCUCGGGAUGUUUCAAGGAGGGAUAUGGCAACCCAGAUGAGCCCAGAGGGUAGCCCCUACUCAUCUCCCAGGAGGCUGUCUUUCUCGCCCUCAACUCCAUCUGUCUUUCCCAUUGUCGAGUUGGAAAGUCCCAAGACCUCUAAAUUAGAAGUCAGAGAUGUACAGGUUGAUGAACGGGUCACUGUGACUAGGUGGUCCAAGAAACAUAGAGCUCGAUUUCCUGGGAGAGGCUCAGAAAAUGUCGAUGACUGGAAGAAGAAAGCUGUCGAGGUUCGAUCUUCUGCUUGGGAAGUUUCAGAGGCAGCUAAAAGCAUUUCUAAAAUGAAGAGGGAGGAAGCCAAAAUCACUGCAUGGGAGAACCUUGAGAAGGCAAAAGCUGAGGCAGCAAUAAGGAAACUUGAGAUGAAACUUGAAAAGAAGAGAUCAUCAUCCAUGGAUAAGAUUAUGAAGAAACUGAGAUCAGCUCAAAAGAAGGCCCAAGAAAUGAGGAGUUCGGUGUUAACGAAUCCAUCCCAUCAAGUUGUCAAGACAUCCAAUAAGCUCAUAUCUUUCCGCCGGACCCGCCAGAUUAGUUCGUUGAGUGGCUGCUUCACCUGCCAUGCUUUUUAGUGCCUCAUCCAGCUGUCUGUUGCUCCAUUUGAAUUGAACUUAACAAGGUUCUUUAACUCUUUCCAUGGAUAGAAUGACAACUGAAGAGUGCGAAGAUGCAUGAAUAUUGCACAAUACAACCCUAGUAUGAUUUUGACACUUGGAAUUGGUGUCGGCCCAGUUUUGUUGCUGCAUCAAACACCAGUGUCUCUGCAUAUGUUGGAUGAUAUGCCAGAUCAGCAUUCUUGGGGAUUCAAUUUGUCUGUAAUGAUGACUAAUAACGUCAGUAUGCGUUCCGAAGUGGCAGUGAUGGGUGGUGAGGGAGUGGCAGUCAUCGGCGGUUGCUGCAGGAGAGGGGAAAAGGAGUCGCAGAAUUUUGUGAGGUGGCAGAAAGGAGUGAUAAAAUUUCGGCGGGGUCCAGAAUUUUGUGAGGUGGCAGAAUUUGAUUGGCUGUGGGACAACUGUGUAGAAUUUAAUCUCUUGUUAGGAACUUUCUCCAGUAAAAUAGCACUUAUAACUAGACAUAUUAGCAAAACCGACAUGUUAUUGAUGGAAAUUCCUCUAUGACAUUUACAUGCAA
Molecule: non-coding RNA, 2514 nt
Organism: Camellia sinensis
Lineage: Eukaryota; Viridiplantae; Streptophyta; Magnoliopsida; Ericales; Theaceae
Source: RefSeq, a predicted model, not a curated record